AUCCAUCUCCUCAGAGAUGGUUCUGGCUUAACUUCAUGUGGUGUCUAUUGUUAAAAAUGAUUUAAUUUCAUUCAUUAAUGGAAUUUAAAAACUAAAUCAUUCACUAAAAGCCAAGACAAAAUUUAAUUAAAUUUUAUAUUUCAAAAGUCUUGUUGCUUUUGUGUUGUUUUUUUAGGUUUGAUUCGGUAAUUUAUCCUUUUACAUGACAAAAUUGAUACUCAGACGCACCUUGUAAUGUGGGUGUUUAAAACUUUCACCACAACCCAACACCCAACUUUAAUAUAGACAAAAUGGGUACUCAGACGCAUCUUGUAAUACGGGGCGGAAGGGGGGGUGGCAUACGCCCUCUUUCAUAAAAGCAAUUUAUACACCAGUAGUUAAUAUUUUUUUAAGUGUUGAAAUAUAUUUUUUAUUUUUUGUAAUAGAUUUAAUCAUUUUAGUAA
Non-coding RNA from Hydra vulgaris (swiftwater hydra), 443 nucleotides. NCBI's taxonomy places the organism in Eukaryota, Metazoa, Cnidaria, Hydrozoa, Anthoathecata, Hydridae. The record is from RefSeq and is a predicted model, not a curated record.